Molecule: non-coding RNA, 535 nt
Filed under: Pan troglodytes (chimpanzee)
Lineage: Eukaryota; Metazoa; Chordata; Mammalia; Primates; Hominidae
Source: RNAcentral
GCUCUAUUCCAGAAGCAGUCUGGAGCACAAAGAAUCCCUAAUCACUGACAUUAAGAAAGAAGAAAAAUAUUCCUAGGACGAUCCUGGAGAGCAAAGGUCAUCAGCAGUCACUUGACUUUCCUUGGAUUUCUCAACUGCAAUAGUCACAUGGUCUGCUGAAAAUGAAUUCUCUUUAUUUUCAUCUGAUUUCAAGGAAUUAUGGUUUUCAGUGAUUUCUUCAUUUGGAUCUAUUUUGAGACAGAGUAAUAGCAUUAAAACCCCCUUCUGAAUUAAUAAGGUAAGAUGGGCUUAAAAUCACUCAAUUCACUAUUGGAUUCUUUGGAGCUGUUAAUCUGUUCAGUGAAAAGAACAAGAACUUUGGAACUCAAGAUUUAACUAUGGUUCCAUCACUGACCUUGGGCAUUUGUUGCUGAAACGCAAAGUGUGACAAGCCAAUGGAGAGAAAGAAGAGACACACACAUGCAGAGAAAACACAGGGAAGAAGGCCACAUGGGAUGAAGGCAGAGAUGGGAAUGAUGCAGCUACAAGCCAGCUA